This 276-nucleotide ribosomal RNA is filed under the name Actinomycetota bacterium. Its description in RNAcentral is "Actinobacteria bacterium (freshwater metagenome) partial 16S ribosomal RNA". It matches the Rfam family "Bacterial small subunit ribosomal RNA", at positions 1 to 277 of the family's 1533-position model. The record is from RNAcentral. Lineage: Bacteria; Bacillati; Actinomycetota.
UCAACGGAGAGUUUGAUCCUGGCUCAGGACGAACGCUGGAGGCGUGCUUAACACAUGCAAGUCGAACGAUGAAGUGGAGCUUGCUCCACGGAUUAGUGGCGAACGGGUGAGUAACACGUGAAUAACCUGCCCUCAAUUUCGGAAUAACCCAGGGAAACCUGGGCUAAUACCGGAUAAGUAAACCUGUGGCAUCACAUGGUUUUGGAAAGUUUUUCGAUUGAGGAUGGAUUCGCGGCCUAUCAGCUUGUUGGUGAGGUAAUGGCUCACCAAGGCGAC